Molecule: ribosomal RNA, 253 nt
Filed under: uncultured bacterium
Lineage: Bacteria
Description: partial 16S ribosomal RNA
Rfam family: Bacterial small subunit ribosomal RNA
Source: RNAcentral
UACGGAGGGUGCAAGCGUUAUCCGGAUUCACUGGGUUUAAAGGGUGCGUAGGUGGGUUGAUAAGUCAGUGGUGAAAUCCCCGAGCUUAACUUGGGAACUGCCAUUGAUACUAUUGAUCUUGAAUACCGUGGAGGUCGGCGGAAUAUGUCAUGUAGCGGUGAAAUGCUUAGAUAUGACAUAGAACACCAUUUGCGAAGGCAGCUGGCUACGCGAAUAUUGACACUGAUGCACGAAAGCGUGGGGAUCAAACAGG